UACGUAGGGGGCAAGCGUUGUCCGGAAUUAUUGGGCGUAAAGGGCACGCAGGCGGUUCGCUAAGUUCGAGGUGACAAUCACCGGCUUAACCGGUGAACGAUUUCGAAAACUGGCGGACUGGAGAGCGAGAGAGGGACAUGGAACUCCGGGUGGAGCGGUGAAAUGCGUAGAGAUCCGGAAGAACACCAAUGGCGAAGGCAGUGUCCUGGCUCGUAUCUGACGCUGAGGUGCGAAAGCUAGGGGAGCGAACGGG
Molecule: ribosomal RNA, 253 nt
Filed under: uncultured bacterium
Lineage: Bacteria
Description: partial 16S ribosomal RNA
Rfam family: Bacterial small subunit ribosomal RNA
Source: RNAcentral